This 253-nucleotide ribosomal RNA is filed under the name uncultured bacterium. Its description in RNAcentral is "partial 16S ribosomal RNA". It matches the Rfam family "Bacterial small subunit ribosomal RNA", at positions 524 to 776 of the family's 1533-position model. The record is from RNAcentral.
UACGUAGGGUGCAAGCGUUAAUCGGAAUUACUGGGCGUAAAGCGUGCGUAGUCGGUUAUCUAAGUCGGGUGUGAAGUCCCCGGGCUCAACCUGGGAAUUGCAUUCGAUACUGGAUAGCUAGAGUUCGGCAGAGGGAAGCGGAAUUUCGGGUGUAGCGGUGAAAUGCGUAGAUAUCCGAAGGAACAUCAGUGGCGAAAGCGGCUUCCUGGACCAGAACUGACGAUCAGGCACGAAAGCGUGGGGAGCAAACAGG